CGGGACACGUGGUAUCCUGUCUGAAUAUGGGGGGACCAUCCUCCAAGGCUAAAUACUCCUGACUGACCGAUAGUGAACCAGUACCGUGAGGGAAAGGCGAAAAGAACCCCGGCGAGGGGAGUGAAAAAGAACCUGAAACCGUGUACGUACAAGCAGUGGGAGCCUCUUUAUGGGGUGACUGCGUACCUUUUGUAUAAUGGGUCAGCGACUUAUAUUCUGUAGCAAGGUUAACCGAAUAGGGGAGCCGAAGGGAAACCGAGUCUUAACUGGGCGUUAAGUUGCAGGGUAUAGACCCGAAACCCGGUGAUCUAGCCAUGGGCAGGUUGAAGGUUGGGUAACACUAACUGGAGGACCGAACCGACUAAUGUUGAAAAAUUAGCGGAUGACUUGUGGCUGGGGGUGAAAGGCCAAUCAAACCGGGAGAUAGCUGGUUCUCCCCGAAAGCUAUUUAGGUAGCGCCUCGUGAAUUCAUCUCCGGGGGUAGAGCACUGUUUCGGCAAGGGGGUCAUCCCGACUUACCAACCCGAUGCAAACUGCGAAUACCGGAGAAUGUUAUCACGGGAGACACACGGCGGGUGCUAACGUCCGUCGUGAAGAGGGAAACAACCCAGACCGCCAGCUAAGGUCCCAAAGUCAUGGUUAAGUGGGAAACGAUGUGGGAAGGCCCAGACAGCCAGGAUGUUGGCUUAGAAGCAGCCAUCAUUUAAAGAAAGCGUAAUAGCUCACUGGUCGAGUCGGCCUGCGCGGAAGAUGUAACGGGGCUAAACCAUGCACCGAAGCUGCGGCAGCGACACUAAGUGUUGUUGGGUAGGGGAGCGUUCUGUAAGCCUGUGAAGGUGUACUGUGAGGUAUGCUGGAGGUAUCAGAAGUGCGAAUGCUGACAUAAGUAACGAUAAAGCGGGUGAAAAGCCCGCUCGCCGGAAGACCAAGGGUUCCUGUCCAACGUUAAUCGGGGCAGGGUGAGUCGACCCCUAAGGCGAGGCCGAAAGGCGUAGUCGAUGGGAAACAGGUUAAUAUUCCUGUACUUGGUGUUACUGCGAAGGGGGGACGGAGAAGGCUAUGUUGGCCGGGCGACGGUUGUCCCGGUUUAAGCGUGUAGGCUGGUUUUCCAGGCAAAUCCGGAAAAUCAAGGCUGAGGCGUGAUGACGAGGCACUACGGUGCUGAAGCAACAAAUGCCCUGCUUCCAGGAAAAGCCUCUAAGCAUCAGGUAACAUCAAAUCGUACCCCAAACCGACACAGGUGGUCAGGUAGAGAAUACCAAGGCGCUUGAGAGAACUCGGGUGAAGGAACUAGGCAAAAUGGUGCCGUAACUUCGGGAGAAGGCACGCUGAUAUGUAGGUGAAGCGACUUGCUCGUGGAGCUGAAAUCAGUCGAAGAUACCAGCUGGCUGCAACUGUUUAUUAAAAACACAGCACUGUGCAAACACGAAAGUGGACGUAUACGGUGUGACGCCUGCCCGGUGCCGGAAGGUUAAUUGAUGGGGUUAGCGCAAGCGAAGCUCUUGAUCGAAGCCCCGGUAAACGGCGGCCGUAACUAUAACGGUCCUAAGGUAGCGAAAUUCCUUGUCGGGUAAGUUCCGACCUGCACGAAUGGCGUAAUGAUGGCCAGGCUGUCUCCACCCGAGACUCAGUGAAAUUGAACUCGCUGUGAAGAUGCAGUGUACCCGCGGCAAGACGGAAAGACCCCGUGAACCUUUACUAUAGCUUGACACUGAACAUUGAGCCUUGAUGUGUAGGAUAGGUGGGAGGCUUUGAAGUGUGGACGCCAGUCUGCAUGGAGCCGACCUUGAAAUACCACCCUUUAAUGUUUGAUGUUCUAACGUUGGCCCCUGAUCGGGGUUGCGGACAGUGUCUGGUGGGUAGUUUGACUGGGGCGGUCUCCUCCUAAAGAGUAACGGAGGAGCACGAAGGUUGGCUAAUCCUGGUCGGACAUCAGGAGGUUAGUGCAAUGGCAUAAGCCAGCUUGACUGCGAGCGUGACGGCGCGAGCAGGUGCGAAAGCAGGUCAUAGUGAUCCGGUGGUUCUGAAUGGAAGGGCCAUCGCUCAACGGAUAAAAGGUACUCCGGGGAUAACAGGCUGAUACCGCCCAAGAGUUCAUAUCGACGGCGGUGUUUGGCACCUCGAUGUCGGCUCAUCACAUCCUGGGGCUGAAGUAGGUCCCAAGGGUAUGGCUGUUCGCCAUUUAAAGUGGUACGCGAGCUGGGUUUAGAACGUCGUGAGACAGUUCGGUCCCUAUCUGCCGUGGGCGCUGGAGAACUGAGGGGGGCUGCUCCUAGUACGAGAGGACCGGAGUGGACGCAUCACUGGUGUUCGGGUUGUCAUGCCAAUGGCACUGCCCGGUAGCUAAAUGCGGAAGAGAUAAGUGCUGAAAGCAUCUAAGCACGAAACUUGCCCCGAGAUGAGUUCUCCCUGAGACUUUAAGUCUCCUGAAGGAACGUUGAAGACGACGACGUUGAUAGGCCGGGUGUGUAAGCGCAGCGAUGCGUUGAGCUAACCGGUACUAAUGAACCGUGAG
RNAcentral lists this ribosomal RNA (2515 nucleotides) under Escherichia coli. RNAcentral describes it as "partial 23S ribosomal RNA". It matches the Rfam family "Bacterial large subunit ribosomal RNA", at positions 418 to 2915 of the family's 2925-position model. Lineage: Bacteria; Pseudomonadati; Pseudomonadota; Gammaproteobacteria; Enterobacterales; Enterobacteriaceae. The record is from RNAcentral.